UAAUUUGUAGCAAAUUGAUAGU
This 22-nucleotide microRNA is filed under the name Oryza sativa (Asian cultivated rice). Its description in RNAcentral is "osa-miR5081". The record is from miRBase by way of RNAcentral. Lineage: Eukaryota; Viridiplantae; Streptophyta; Magnoliopsida; Poales; Poaceae.